This 21-nucleotide microRNA is filed under the name Marchantia polymorpha subsp. ruderalis. The record is from RNAcentral. Lineage: Eukaryota; Viridiplantae; Streptophyta; Marchantiopsida; Marchantiales; Marchantiaceae.
ACCGGAUUCAUGUCGAGAACG